RNAcentral lists this ribosomal RNA (575 nucleotides) under uncultured bacterium. RNAcentral describes it as "bacterial SSU rRNA". It matches the Rfam family "Bacterial small subunit ribosomal RNA", at positions 9 to 593 of the family's 1533-position model. The record is from RNAcentral.
GAGUUUGAUCAUGGCUCAGGACGAACGCUGGCGGUGCGCCUUAUGCAUGCAAGUCGAGCGAAGCUUUUCAGUAGUUUACUACAGAAAAUGACUGAGCGGCGAACGGGUGAGUAACGCGUGAGCAAUCUACCUUAGUUACAGGGAUAGCCCGAGGAAACUCGGAUUAAUACCUGAUAUUCUUUAUUUCUCGCAUGAGAAUAAAAGGAAAGGUCAGCCGAACUAAGAUGAGCUCGCGUUCUAUCAGCUAGUUGGUGAGGUAAAAGCUCACCAAGGCUACGACGGAUAGCUGGUCUGAGAGGACGAUCAGCCACACUGGGACUGAGACACGGCCCAGACUCCUACGGGAGGCUGCAGCAGGGAAUAUUGCGCAAUGAGCGAAAGCUUGACGCAGCGACACCGCGUGUGGGAUGACGGAUCUAGGUUUGUAAACCACUUUCAGGAGGGAAGAAAAUGACGGUACCUCCACAAGAAGCCCCGGCCAACUACGUGCCAGCAGCCGCGGUAAUACGUAGGGGGCGAGCGUUGUCCGGAUUUAUUGGGCGUAAAGAGCUCGUAGGCGGUUCAACAAGUCAGUC